This 1340-nucleotide long non-coding RNA is filed under the name Monodelphis domestica (gray short-tailed opossum). Its description in RNAcentral is "lncRNA (ENSMODG00000037831.1)". Lineage: Eukaryota; Metazoa; Chordata; Mammalia; Didelphimorphia; Didelphidae. The record is from RNAcentral.
CCUAAAUCACUCCUGAAUAGCAUGGAGGCCUAAGAAAAUAACCCCUUUCCACUGCAAACCACUCUAUUUUUCAAUUAACAAAGGGUAAGGAUGUUUUUUCUCUCUUUCUCAUUCGAUGAUUCAAAGCUAUAUAGAAUGUAAAAUUCUAUAAUUUAUUAUUAAUUGUUUAUUGUUUUUUUAAAAUACUUGAUGGGGUAGAACAAAAUACAGUCUUGAAGGUUAUCUUCAGACAAUGCAUCUCACACAAUAUUAAAAUGAUAGACUAUGGAAGAAGUUAUUUUAAAGAUAUAACUUUCUGAGUGCUGACAUCUAUCUAGCAAGUUGCAAAACAGGGAUACAGUUAAUCUGAGGUGUUCAUUAUUGUCAUGGAAGAUGAUAUAUGCCAAAUUGAAAGAAAAGGAUUUCCUCUUGACCUCAUGGUUCUUUAAAGGCAUCUAUUCGCACAUGCCCAACAAUGAUACGAAACUUCCUCCCAAAAAUCCAAAGCAAUGAAAAGAAGCAAAAUGCUUUGGGAAUUCUGACAUGCAAAAGAGAAUUUGUGGCUAAGAAAGGGCUCCUGGUUAGGAUUUCAAAUGACAGAGAAACUUUUUGACUAUAGCUCUCCCAAAUGAAUUGGUGAGGGAGGAAGGAGGACCCCGGAGGGUAAGAGACACUGAGAAAUGUCAGCUAAUAUAGCAAAAUUAAUUGAAAGGAAAGGUGGUCGGGGUUGAUGUUUCACUGACUACCAUAACGUCCUCUGUGCCCUCCUCUCCCCCACCACCCUGAAGAAAGGAAAGAGGGAAGGAAGGAUGGAAGGAAGGAAGUGGAGUAGAUACCGCUAUCAGGAGAAUUAUGGUAAUAGGAAAUGCUAGAGCCAUAACACCAGGAAGCCAACUAGGGGAAAGACUGGAUCUUGCACUCCUCCCCUCUACCCUACUUCCUGUUCCCUUUUCAACUGUCUUGAAGUUCACAGAAAUGAAAAAUGUCUAUCUCUAACCUAGAACAAGUAGGAAAAGGAAAUGCGGAUUUGAAAUACAUCUGUAAUCAGGAUGGAGAUGGGAAAGAAUAGGAAUCUCUUCUUGACAUAAGAUUGUCAAAUAAUCUUUGUAAAAUACAAAAGACAAAUGCUAGAGGACUGACUAUCUCUUUUAUCUACUUGUCAUAUGAAACUGAAGGCUACAAUAUUCUGACUUUACUGAAAUGAAAACAAAUGCCAGAUAUCUAAUGACCAUUGUAGACAUUAUGUGCAGUUUCAGAUUUAGGUGAAAUUACAUCUGCAUAUUAUAGAUGAUAUUUCUUCAGGAAAAAUAUACACUAUACUGCACCUCCAAUAAAGCACAAAUGUACCAGUUCCCUUUGCA